RNAcentral lists this ribosomal RNA (508 nucleotides) under uncultured bacterium. RNAcentral describes it as "partial 16S ribosomal RNA". It matches the Rfam family "Bacterial small subunit ribosomal RNA", at positions 28 to 523 of the family's 1533-position model. The record is from RNAcentral.
GAUGAACGCUAGCUACAGGCUUAACACAUGCAAGUCGAGGGGAAACGAUAGAGAAAGCUUGCUUUUUCUAGGCGUCGACCGGCGCACGGGUGAGUAACGCGUAUCCAACCUGCCCAUCACUUGGGGAUAACCUUGCGAAAGUAAGACUAAUACCCAAUGAUAUCUCUAGAAGACAUCUGAAGGAGAUUAAAGAUUUAUCGGUGAAGGAUGGGGAUGCGUCUGAUUAGCUUGUUGGCGGGGUAACGGCCCACCGAGGCGACGAUCAGUAGGGGUUCUGAGAGGAAGGUCCCCCACAUUGGAACUGAGACACGGUCCAAACUCCUACGGGAAGCAGCAGUGAGGAAUAUUGGUCAAUGGACGAGAGUCUGAACCAGCCAAGUAGCGUGCAGGAUGACGGCCCUAUGGGUUGUAAACUGCUUUUAUAAGGGAAUAAAGUGAGUCUCGUGAGACUUUUUGCAUGUACCUUAUGAAUAAGGACCGGCUAAUUCCGUGCCAGCCGCCGCCGUAA